UCUAACACUAUUUACUAAUUACAACUUUUUAUAUUGUGUCAGAGGCAGAGGAGACACAUCAACCAGCAAGUGUGUAACUUAUCAGGAAAAUGACUGACUGAAUGGAUGACUGUCUAGGUUGCAAGCGGGACAUACAUGUUACAGUUAAGUAUUUCAGCUACAACAUAUUGUUAAAUCACAGUAACCAUCUUGCCAUUAGUUGUAACUUCACAGUAAAAUAUAGUUAAUUCUACAAGAGAAUACGGUGAAAUCACAGAAAUGAGCCUUACUAUACACCUUGAAGUCACAUAUGGCUGUAAUUUCACUGUAAGUAAGUGUAAAACAAAUCACAGUGGCUUACUGUGAAAGUAAUACAGUUAUUAGUCAGUAAUUUACUGUUAAUGAAGGGGCAAAUAUUUUACAAUGUAUAAGUAAAACUCAUGUAUACAUUUUGUCUGUCAUUCUGUUUUUUAAGGUGAGUGCUGAAUUUGAGAGAGAUGCCACUGUGCAUUGUGGAUCUUCACAGCUGCUGAGGAGCUCUUGGAGUAAGACAGAGAUCUGAGACUAAAGUUGGACAAUGAAGAACCGACAGGAUCUGAACGGCUUGUGAUGGCAGAAAUGUUGACGUAAACAGGGACCUUCUACAAGUGACCGCCUGAAGAUACUGGCAUCAUCAUCAUCAUCAUCAUCAUCAUCAUUGAAGGUGUUAAAGUUCUUAUAGACCUCAUCUUUACCAGACUCAGGCAAACUCUGCUUUCACUCCGCCCAAAGCCCCAGCUGAACGGUUUUGGCCCAGUGUAUCCGAUCAGGCCCGGGAAGUGACUGUGGAAACUUGACUGGCCCUGGCUCGCAUUGGCACGACUCUUGACUACAUUCCCAGAGCUUUUGUCCACCUGGGUUUGACCUAUGCAUUUUAACUGUGACAAAGAAUGGUGUUUUUACAAUAGACUGUCUGGUUAACGCUGGAAGAUAUUAGAGGGUAGUAUUCCCUCUACUGUGGUGUCCUCUUUGCUUCAAUGAAUCUGCAUUAUUCUGGCAAAUAAUACCUUUCAUGCAUUAAAUCACAUAAAUUUCACUCUAAGUCUAUUGUUUUAAAUAAUAUUGUUUAAUGUCCAGUUGUUUGAAACUGCUGUUUAAAAAAAGAUGAUCAAAGUCCUUGUUAAGAUGAUCAGUUUGUUUAAAUGUACAUGUUUUAUUGUGUAUUAUAUGAUGUAUUGUCUAUUGUGAGAUUGUUGUUACUCUGUAUUGUGGCUUCACACUGCUGAACAGGCUCCACUAAUUUGAGCUAAAUUUAAUUAAAUUUUACUCAAUCCA
Molecule: non-coding RNA, 1293 nt
Organism: Danio rerio (zebrafish)
Lineage: Eukaryota; Metazoa; Chordata; Actinopteri; Cypriniformes; Danionidae
Source: RefSeq, a predicted model, not a curated record